This 381-nucleotide ribosomal RNA is filed under the name Pseudemydura umbrina (Western swamp turtle). RNAcentral describes it as "partial 12S rRNA". The record is from RNAcentral. Lineage: Eukaryota; Metazoa; Chordata; Testudines; Chelidae.
CCUUAAACCUAGAUUUUUUUAUAUAUAAAAAUUUACCAGAGAACUACAAACUAAACGUUUAAAAUUCAAAGGACUUGGCGGUACCUCAAACCCACCUAGAGGAGCCUGUUCUAUAAUCGAUAACCCACGAUUAACCUCACCACCCCUUGCCCUCAGCCUAUAUACCUCCGUCUACAGCUCACUCUACAANGAGAUAAAAGUAAGCCAANCAAUCUACAUAAUUAAUAAGUCAGGUCAAGGUGUAGCCAAUGGGGUGGAAGAAAUGGGCUACAUUUUCUAAAUUAGAAAUAACUAACGGAAAGAACCUUGAAAUAUGGGUCUAAAAAUAGGAUUUAGCAGUAAUGUGUGAACAGAGAGCCCACAUUAACCCGGACCUGAGAU